CUGCAUUGGUUCACCCUCAAACUGACUAAAUUUUAGCAAUGGAUAAAAUAAUUUUUGCUGACAAAUAUGUAGAAGGUUUACACAGCCCUUUACAACUUGGGCUAGAAACUUCAGAAGGAAUAUGAUAAACGCCCACCCAAUCUUUCCAGGGUACAUGUAGAUUAAACAAUGUCACAUCUGUUUGUAAGUUAAAAAGCUUACUCUAUGGCUUCUACAUUUUAUCUUUAUGUUUCCUACUCUUAUAAAUAAUAUACAUGUGACUACAGCUAACUCGUAACAUAAUUGAGAUUAUUAUAUUCAUACAACUAUAUAUCUUUUAUAAAACAAACAACAUAUUGUUACAUAUAUCCCUCUAGAUCAUAUGUGGAAAACAUUCACUGUAUGUUAUAAGAAAUUAGUGCUUUUUAUCAAACAUUAGUGAUGUGUAGAAAUCAUGACUUCAGCUAUACAAAGUGCAUUUUGAUCCAGAGGGCUUUUUUUAUGAUCCCAUGUAGAAGAGAGAUCAUUACAGCCAUGCUUCUCAAACACAUUCUAUUGUUUUUAAAUAAAUGGGUAAGGGAUUUGCAACUAAAGAAAUUGGGAAACAAACCAAAACUAGAAGAUGAGGUGAAGCGCUACAGAUAAGAGAAAGAAUUUAGCAAGAACAGGUCAGAGGGUAGCUACAAGAAUACAAAGAGCCAGUGGGAAGGGAGGCUUAGGGAGCAGAAAUUGGGGCAAAGUGUUAAGAAGAGACCACCGUGUUGUACUGGGGUCCAAAAGACAAUGUGGAGGCUUUACCCUCAGUGACAAGGUAAUCUAAAGAUUUCUCCUGUUUAAACUAUAAAUAUUUAUCUGAAACUUGUACAUAUCUUCUAUGCACAAAGUAGGACUUCCAGAAGCCCUUUUGUGCUGAAGCCUAGAAUAACUAAGAGGGUUUUGGCUCACGUAAUUCAUUUGCAUCUUCACAAAAUGAAUGUGUACUCAUUUGAGUCCUUCGAAGCUUUAAAACAGCCAUAUUCUUCUUGAUGUUUAUAUAUUUUCCUUAGGCAUUUUUUUCCACAAAAUAGACAAGUUUUAUCCAUACAAAAAUUGGCCGAUGCAGAUAAUGCCUCUCUUGAUAAGGAUCACAGCAAGUCUCUUCCUUAGCAUCUAGCAUGCACCACCACACAAUUUGAUGAUGUGCAGAAGGGAAAACUGGCCUGGAGCCUGUGAAUCACCCUGGUUUUUCAGGAAAAAAAGAAUCACCAGCAGUUAUUUCAUCUCUACCUUCUUAAAGUCUUAUCUUCACUUGAGAUAACAUUAAGUCAAUCGGCAUUUCACAUUGAUCCUGAUCUUCUUAGCCAUAGUGAAUAUUGUUUAAAAUUUCAUUUAUAACUAUUCCCUAUCAUUGGCUGUACAGAUAACAUUUGACAUUUUGAAUAAUUUGUCCUUUGUCCUUCUGAAUUAUUCCUAAGUCAAAUAAUUUUUCACUUCUGAUGAGCUCAUUUUAUGUUUUUAUCAUAAUCAUAAUGCCUCUGCAUGAAACUCUCCCAGCUUCUGUUAUCUGUUGAUCAUAUUACACUUAAUAAUGGUCAGCAUCUCAAAAUGACAGGCAAACAUGACAAAAUCAUAGUAAUCUAGGGAAUAUAAGAUGACAAGAAUGAAAAUGCUCAUAUCUCACUCCUUGUGCCAACUGUUAGGGCAGGCAGUGUUGAGUCACAUUUUCUGGACCAUACAUUAAAAAAUGCUGUAUACAUAAAGCACAAAAUUGUAGGUAAUGGCUUUCUCUCUAUCCCUUCGGCUAGAUUGUGAGUCACUCAAAGGCAGCACCCAUGUUUAAUGUUUUCAGUAUGUCUCAUCGUAACUGUUACAUAAUAAUAAUUCCUAGGAUAUGUUUUUUUUAAACUCAAUGAAACAAGUUGAUAAAAAAUCUGUUAUUUCAAGGAGAAAACAAAAUUUCCUUAGAACUACAUUCCUACAUCUGAGACUGAAUAGCAGAAUAAUCUAGGAAAGUUUGCUUAAACUCACAUAUCUUACCUUUUCCACACUGAAUAUGUAUUAUUUAAGAAAGUUUCCAGAAGAUACUCUGGAAACUGUGUCUCCAUCUUAGAACCACAGCAAUAAAAAAAAAAUUGAGAUUGCUUUCUUUGUUAUUUUUACUAUGUUAUAAACACAAAGGCAAUGAAGAGUUAAACAUACAUAUAUAUAUAUAUACACGUACUUAUAUACAUACCACACAAAUGUAUAUAUUUAUACAUAGAUUCACAUAUAAGUUUGUGUGUACAUAAAUAUAUAUAGAUGAUAUAGAUAUAGGAGACAUAAGUCAUGGUGGAACACUUGAUCUGGCCUUACAUUCAAGAUAUAUGAAUGUGAAAGCAAAUAAUUAAGCAAUAUUAGAAUUUUCAGAUAUGAGCAAAAAUGAUUUGAUUAUAGUAGAAAGAACAAAAAGAA
RNAcentral lists this long non-coding RNA (2409 nucleotides) under Pongo abelii (Sumatran orangutan). RNAcentral describes it as "lincRNA". The record is from RNAcentral. Lineage: Eukaryota; Metazoa; Chordata; Mammalia; Primates; Hominidae.